Long non-coding RNA from Dendroctonus ponderosae (mountain pine beetle), 955 nucleotides. RefSeq lists it as uncharacterized. The transcript has 2 exons. The record is from RefSeq and is a predicted model, not a curated record. NCBI's taxonomy places the organism in Eukaryota, Metazoa, Arthropoda, Insecta, Coleoptera, Curculionidae.
GGCUUGAGCCACUUGUUUUGGGCGUCAAUCUACUGGGUUUUGUUGUUAAAAAACUGCUGGUAUCAGGGUUUUUGCAUCAGCAGAUUUCCUGCAAACUCAGCGCCUGACUUGUUUGUUUUGUUACCGUCGCCCAAUUAGUCGACUAAGUAAAUCCAUCUGGAAAUUGCUUGAUUGCCAUCCCUUGGCUAAAAAUAGCGAGCAAACUCACAGCCAACACCCAGCCGAAGAGAAAACCGCACAAGCCAAUGUACAGUUGGCUUAGGUUAAGUCCCAUAUUGAUCCCUUCAGUUCACCCUAAUAUUUGGGGUUCCUGCCGAAAACAUUAAACACAGAGACUAAUCAUGUGUUCCCUCGUUUCAUACACAGCAGGGGAUAAAGCAUUCAUUACCAACUGGGUAAUGAAUAUGGUUUUGCAAUAGUUUUUGAAUAUUCAAAAGCUGCAUUUGGAGGGUUUACACCAUCAACCAUUCAUAGUCAUGAAUGCCUGAUUUUAUCAGCGUCAGGAAAUCGAGUGAUUGAUCACAAUGGCAAAGGUCAAAGGAGCAGGUUGGGCCUUUAUCAGUGACCUUUCGGUACAUUAUAAGUGUGGCUCUGAGGGCUAAAAUUAGACUGGCAUUAUUCGCCUGCUGCUGCAGGCAAUCGAAGCCUUCUUGAAACACUCUGGGCUUAUCUAUGGCACGCCAUUCACAUCCAGGCAUUAAGUUGUUAAGCGGCUUUUUAAGUAAACAACACAGCAGAAGAAAACCCGUCUUCUUGAGAUUAAUUUUUAACGACUGCUGUUUGAUAAGACAAUAUCUGGUCUGGGCCUCGUAAAGGCUUUGUUGAAAUCGACCUUUCCACCUGCCUGAACGGGCACGUGCAAGGUGUUUGCACCAGACGGCCAAGUGAUUUCGUUCAUUUUCUGUCGGUUGUUUGGGUUUAAAGCAGAAUAAAUAGCCGAAAAUGACCACUGAAA